UACAGAGGUCUCAAGCGUUGUUCGGAUUCAUUGGGCGUAAAGGGUGCGUAGGUGGCGGGGUAAGUCAGGUGUGAAAUCUCGGAGCUCAACUCCGAAACUGCACUUGAUACUGCCUUGCUCGAGUACUGGAGAGGAGAUUGGAAUUUACGGUGUAGCAGUGAAAUGCGUAGAUAUCGUGAGGGAGACCAGUGGCGAAGGCGGAUCUCUGGACAGCUCCUGACGCUGAGGCGCGAAGGCUAGGGGAGCAAACGGG
RNAcentral lists this ribosomal RNA (253 nucleotides) under uncultured bacterium. Its description in RNAcentral is "partial 16S ribosomal RNA". It matches the Rfam family "Bacterial small subunit ribosomal RNA", at positions 524 to 776 of the family's 1533-position model. The record is from RNAcentral.